GUAGGUGGCAAGCGUUGUCCGGAAUUAUUGGGCGUAAAGCGCGCGCAGGCGGAUCAGUCAGUCUGUCUUAAAAGUUCGGGGCUUAACCCCGUGAUGGGAUGGAAACUGCUGAUCUAGAGUAUCGGAGAGGAAAGUGGAAUUCCUAGUGUAGCGGUGAAAUGCGUAGAUAUUAGGAAGAACACCAGUGGCGAAGGCGACUUUCUGGACGAAAACUGACGCUGAGGCGCGAAAGCCAGGGGAGCGAACGGGAUUAGAUACCCCGGUAGUCCUGGCCGUAAACGAUGGGUACUAGGUGUAGGAGGUAUCGACCCCUUCUGUGCCGGAGUUAACGCAAUAAGUACCCCGCCUGGGGAGUACGACCGCAAGGUUG
Molecule: ribosomal RNA, 370 nt
Filed under: uncultured bacterium
Lineage: Bacteria
Also listed under: 1 other name
Description: bacterial SSU rRNA
Rfam family: Bacterial small subunit ribosomal RNA
Source: RNAcentral